GUUUUUAACAUUAGAUUGCAAAGGGCUCAUUAUAACAGUUGUGAUAAAUUUGAGGUUAUUUUAUAGGUGGAUACUUAUGAUAAACUUAUGAAAAAUACAGUUAAUUAAAAUAUUUUUUUAUUUGGCAUUUUUUACAAAUCAAACCAAAAUGUUUUAUCAUUGUGGAUGAUUCAUAGUAAUGUUUGGAGAACGCUUUGAUAUGCGUCAUAUCUUCACGGUUUCUGACCUAUCAGUUAGUCAGUAAUGUAUUGGACUACUGAAGCGUUGACGGGUAACAGAGAAUUAGGGUUCUGUUCCGGAGAGGGAGCCUGAGAAACAGCUACUACAUCUAAGGAAGGCAGCAGGCGCGUAAAUUACCCAAUUCUGAUAAAGAGAGGUAGUGAUAAGAAAUCACAAUAUUUUGCCUUAGGGUUAAGUAAUUGAAUUGAGAACACAGCAGCCAUAUUAUCGAUAAACUAUUGGAGGGCAAGUCUGGUGCCAGCAGUCGCGGUAAUUCCAGCUCCAAUGGUGUAUGCUAAUAUUGUUGCAGUUAAAAAGCUCGUAGUCGAAUUUGUAAGAAAAUUAAUUUUAUGUAAUCGUAAUGAAUAACAAAAAAAGAAGAUAUAUCUUAUUUUAUGCUUAUGCACCGUUGGAAUUCAUUUUUUGAUGGUGGACUAAAUAUGUGUUUACUUUGAAAAAAUUAGAGUGUUUAAAACAGUCUUUGCGGCUUUAUAUUAAAGCAUGGAAUGAUAAAUAAUGACAUCGGUUAAUUUUUGUUGGGAUGAGAGGCUGAUGUAAUGAUAUAUAGAGUUAGUCGGAGGUAUUAGUAUUCUAUCGUUAGAAGUGAAAUUCUCGGAUCGUUAAAAGACUAACAACUGCAAAAGCAUUUGCCUAGAAUUUGCUCAUUGAUCAAGAACGUAAGUUGAGGGAUCGAAGACGAUCAGAUACCGUCGUAGUCUCAACUUUAAACUAUACCGGCUAGGGAUUGGCAAAUGUUUAUAUGACAUUGUUAGAACCUUUGGAGAAAUCAAAGCGUUUGGGUUCCGGGGGAAGUAUGGUCGCAAGGUUGAAACUUAAAGGAAUUGACGGAAGGGCACCACAAGAUGUGGAUCCUGUGGCUUAAUUUGACUCAACACUGGAAAACUUACCAGGUCCAGACAUAGGUAGGAUUGACAGAUUGAUAGUUUUUUCUUGAUUCUAUGGGUGGUGGUGCAUGGCCGUUCUUAGUUGGUGGAGUGAUUUGUCUGGUUAAUUCCGUUAACGAACGAGACUUCCACAUGAUAAAUAGCACAAUUUUUUGAAAAGAAUCUUUGCUUCUUA
Molecule: ribosomal RNA, 1299 nt
Filed under: Sphaerozoum trigenimum
Lineage: Eukaryota; Polycystinea; Collodaria; Sphaerozoidae
Description: SSU rRNA
Rfam family: Eukaryotic small subunit ribosomal RNA
Source: RNAcentral